CCAAUAGCGUAUAUUAAAGUUGUUGCAGUUAAAAAGCUCGUAGUUGAAUUUCGGGGUUAGUAGGUUGGUCAUGCCUCUGGUAUGUACUGGUCUCACUGAUUCCUCCUUCCUGAUGAACCUUAAUGCCAUUAAUUUGGUGUUUUGGGGAAUUUGGACUGUUACUUUGAAAAAAUUAGAGUGUUUAAAGCAAGCUAACGCUUGAAUACAUUAGCAUGGACUAAUGAAAUAGGACGUUCGAUCCUAUUUUGUUGGUUUCUAGGAUUGACGUAAUGAUUAAUAGGGAUAGUUGGGGGCAUUAGUAUUCAAUUGUCAGAGGUGAAAUUCUUGGAUUUAUUGAAGACUAACUACUGCGAAAGCAUUUGCCAAGGAUGUUUUCAUUAAUCAAGAACGAAAGUUAGGGGAUCGAAGACGAUCAGAUACCGUCGUAGUCUUAACCAUAAACUAUGCCGACAAGGGAUCGGAUGAUGUUAAUUUUUUAAUGACUCAUUCGGCGCCUUACG
This 500-nucleotide ribosomal RNA is filed under the name uncultured Glomeromycotina. Its description in RNAcentral is "partial small subunit ribosomal RNA". It matches the Rfam family "Eukaryotic small subunit ribosomal RNA", at positions 591 to 1092 of the family's 1831-position model. Lineage: Eukaryota; Fungi; Glomeromycota. The record is from RNAcentral.